Molecule: ribosomal RNA, 532 nt
Filed under: uncultured bacterium
Lineage: Bacteria
Description: partial 16S ribosomal RNA
Rfam family: Bacterial small subunit ribosomal RNA
Source: RNAcentral
UGGGGAAUUUUGGACAAUGGGCGAAAGCCUGAUCCAGCAAUGCCGCGUGUGUGAAGAAGGCCUUCGGGUUGUAAAGCACUUUUGUCCGGAAAGAAAUCCUUGGCUCUAAUACAGUCGGGGGAUGACGGUACCGGAAGAAUAAGCACCGGCUAACUACGUGCCAGCAGCCGCGGUAAUACGUAGGGUGCAAGCGUUAAUCGGAAUUACUGGGCGUAAAGCGUGCGCAGGCGGUUUGCUAAGACCGAUGUGAAAUCCCCGGGCUCAACCUGGGAACUGCAUUGGUGACUGGCAGGCUAGAGUAUGGCAGAGGGGGGUAGAAUUCCACGUGUAGCAGUGAAAUGCGUAGAGAUGUGGAGAAUACCGAUGGCGAAGGCAGCCCCCUGGGCCAAUACUGACGCUCAUGCACGAAAGCGUGGGGAGCAAACAGGAUUAGAUACCCUGGUAGUCCACGCCCUAAACGAUGUCAACUAGUUGUGGGGAUUCAUUCCUUAGUAACGUAGCUAACGCGUGAAGUUGACCGCCUGGGGAGUAC